UACGGAGGGUGCGAGCGUUGUCCGGAAUCACUGGGCGUAAAGGGCGCGUAGGCGGCUCAUGAAGGCUGUGGUGAAAGUCCGGGGCUCAACCUCGGAUCGGCCGUGGCGACUCGUGGGCUGGAGCACUGUAGAGGCGGGUGGAAUUCCGGGUGUAGCGGUGGAAUGCGUAGAGAUCCGGAAGAACACCAGUGGCGAAGGCGGUUACCUGGACAGUUACUGACGCUCAGGCACGAAAGCAUGGGGAGCAAAAGGG
This 253-nucleotide ribosomal RNA is filed under the name uncultured bacterium. Its description in RNAcentral is "partial 16S ribosomal RNA". It matches the Rfam family "Bacterial small subunit ribosomal RNA", at positions 524 to 776 of the family's 1533-position model. The record is from RNAcentral.